This 352-nucleotide long non-coding RNA is filed under the name Setaria italica (foxtail millet). RNAcentral's name for it is "long non-coding RNA (SITA_LNC005457)". Lineage: Eukaryota; Viridiplantae; Streptophyta; Magnoliopsida; Poales; Poaceae. The record is from RNAcentral.
GGGACAAGCACAACGAGUUCGACUUCGAGUUCCUGGGGAACACGAGCGGCGAGCCGUACCUGGUGCAGACGAACCUGUACAUCGACGGCGUGGGCAACCGCGAGCAGCGCAUCGACCUGUGGUUCGACCCCACCACCGACUUCCACACCUACGCCGUGCUCUGGAACCCCAGCCAGGUGGUGUUCAUGGUCGACGACACCCCCAUCCGCGUCUACGAGAACACGUCCUCCCGCCACGUCCACGGCCACCACCGCCACGCCGCCAACACCAGCACCACCGACUCAUCGCCGCCGCCGUUCCCGGGGCCGCAGCCGAUGGCGGUGUACAGCUCGAUCUGGAACGCGGACGACUG